CUUGAAGAAGGACAAAGACACCACCGUCGAUGGCUAUAUCACUCACCAUUGUUUGAAUAAACUACUUUGACGAGACACACAUGGUUUGUUUCCUAAGUACUGGUUGGUACACAAACCACCCAAGUUAUGCUCUCUAGUGUUACCUCAUUUUAUGCCAACUCAGAUAGGUCUUAGUUUUGUUCGAAAUAGAGUUUUGUUCCUCCACGGCACCAAUUAUGGAGUUGUACAUUUAUCUCUUACACAGAAUUCGUGUAUAUGGCACCAUCUGGUGUUUCUUACAAACACACACC
Molecule: long non-coding RNA, 290 nt
Filed under: Brachypodium distachyon (stiff brome)
Lineage: Eukaryota; Viridiplantae; Streptophyta; Magnoliopsida; Poales; Poaceae
Description: long non-coding RNA (BDIS_LNC002708)
Source: RNAcentral